This 1196-nucleotide long non-coding RNA is filed under the name Equus caballus (horse). RNAcentral's name for it is "lncRNA (ENSECAG00000055570.1)". Lineage: Eukaryota; Metazoa; Chordata; Mammalia; Perissodactyla; Equidae. The record is from RNAcentral.
CAGCUUUUAAAUUUUUGGAGAUUGCUAAUUGGUAUGCAAACGUAUCUUUUUAUUUGCUGACAUCUCAGUCAAAUCAGGAUCUUGAAUCAAAGAAGCAAAAGCCUAUAAGUCUUCCCUAUUAUCUUCCCUGUAAAUAAUAGAUUUCCUGCUUUAAUUUACCUGGGGGCAUAAACACAACAAGGAAAGGCAAAGACCUGCCCUUCCUUGGUCUGUUCUACCUAAUAAAGUGGCGUUUACCUGGGACCUCCAAGAGUUAGCCUCUAUUGUGUCUUCCAAAGGAAAGAGAAUAGAUUGUCCUCUGGGCUGAUAUAAACGGGAAGACAGCAGCUGUAUGUGACCUUGUGUUCUGAUAUGGUUCUGGCAUUGGGACAGAAUCUUUUUGGUAGCCUGUCUUUGUCACUUUCUAGCAAGUACAGAGACUAAGCACCUGGGCCUAAGACUCAAGCAAUCCACAAGAUUCCAGACCUCCUUGAGGGUAGGAAAAGGGGUCCCAAUAUUCUCAGCAUUUGAUUAUCACUCUUAGAUGGGCUUCAGAGUUCAGUUAAUGAGCAGACACCACGCCAGGAAGAGAUACAUGAGCCUAGAUCUCAGAGGGUAUGUACUCUGAAGCUGAAAUCAUAAACCAGAACAUCUGACGUGUGUCUCAUACACAAUGAGGGAGGGAGGAUUGCUGAUGGAAAUGUCACACGCAGCUGCUUUUAGCACUUGGCUCUCGCGGAUCGAGCUUCCCCUUCUGCCACUACACCCCACCCUCUUCCUGGAAGAAAGCCGUUUAGGGUUCUUUAGUUCUCAUCCUGCAUGCUGUGAAAACAGCUGUAAAUUUCUAUCUGUCACAUGGGUAUAGUUCAUGGCUGGUAGAUGUACCUGAUGGGCUAUAGAAAUGACUGGCUCAGCUCCUGUUGGGCUCAGGAAAGAGAGUCUACCUGAGAGAAUCAGUUGUGUGCCCCACCCUGAAAGGUUUUGAUGCCUGUGCUUUCUUCAUCUUACCAAAAGCUGUCAAUGGAAGAUUUCAGGCAACAGAAUCCACUAUUCACAAUGGAGACAGACGGCCAAGGACAGCCACCUGGAUUCCUUAUCAUCUCCUCCUCCUCCCUGAAAGCAGUGUCCCAAGGCUGAACACAGGCUGAUGGGAAAGCUCUGACCAGCAAGGCCACUGACUCCCCCCACUCUACAAGCAGCCACAUUCCUCAUCAACC